GUCCGGAUUUUAGCUCCACUGCCUCCACACUGUAGCCAGCCAGACUCCCCACCACAGUGACACAAACCAACCAGCCGCCUCGAGAGGUUGCUGAAGAGGUAUGCAGCGAUGGUCUGGAGGAAAAAAUAGUCACAUGGACUGGUGUGCAUUCCAGUACUUGAAAUGAUGCUGUUGCUCAGGCACAUCCAGGUGCGAGGAUGGGGGAGAUCCGGAUGUCGCUAAAUAAAAGAAUCUGUGAACUGCUUCACCAAGAGAAAAAGAAGUCCAUGGACAGGCCUAUGAGCCCUCUUGUUGACCUUGAGUGACUAAGGCUGCGGGCGGUCUGCCCCUGAAUUCACCUUCACUUUCUUUUCUUUUUUUAAAAAUAUAUCUGAAGGUGUGUGUGUGUGUGUGUGUGUGCGCGCGCGCGGGGGUGUGUGUGUGUGCGCGUGUGUGUGCACGCGUGCAUGUGUGCCAGUGCUUUAUGUGAGGUGUUUCGCUUACCGGCCACAGCCACAGUUUUUGUUUUGUUUUCUUUUUGUUUUGUUUGGGUUUUUUUUUUUGUUUUUUAUUUGGGUUUUUUUUUAGAAUAUUUCUGCUUUUUCAUUAAGUACAAGUUACUGGCCAAAGUGGGAGACUGAAAUUGUUACUGGCCACAGGCAAGUUUCACCAGUAUUUGGCCUGUUGGCCGGUGUCGUGGUCAAGUCGUUUCCCUGCCUGUCUGCCCCUCUGUCUCUGCAUGUGUGAGCGGUGGUGUUAAAGGGUCGGUUGGUUUCAUGUUUUUAAUAAACCAAUGUCAACAGUUGAAUGAAUUGAAUUGAUGUUUGGUCAUUGUUGUAAUUACAUUACUUCAUAAAUGCCUUGUAUAAAGUACGUUACAGUAUAUUGUGUAGUGUAAUGCAAUACAUAAGUCAAUAUAUGAUUUAAUUAAUAAGCCAUAUACUAUGGGAUAUAAUCCAAUAUAUGCAACAGUAUAC
Molecule: long non-coding RNA, 956 nt
Organism: Engraulis encrasicolus (European anchovy)
Lineage: Eukaryota; Metazoa; Chordata; Actinopteri; Clupeiformes; Engraulidae
Exons: 3
Source: RefSeq, a predicted model, not a curated record